RNAcentral lists this ribosomal RNA (482 nucleotides) under uncultured bacterium. RNAcentral's name for it is "partial 16S ribosomal RNA". It matches the Rfam family "Bacterial small subunit ribosomal RNA", at positions 30 to 507 of the family's 1533-position model. The record is from RNAcentral.
AUUGAACGCUGGCGGCAUGCCUUACACAUGCAAGUCGAACGGUAACAGGUCUUCGGAUGCUGACGAGUGGCGAACGGGUGAGUAAUGCAUCGGAACGUGCCCAGACGUGGGGGAUAACGAGGCGAAAGCUUUGCUAAUACCGCAUACGAUCUAAGGAUGAAAGCAGGGGACCGCAAGGCCUUGCGCGUUUGGAGCGGCCGAUGGCAGAUUAGGUAGUUGGUGGGAUAAAAGCUUACCAAGCCGACGAUCUGUAGCUGGUCUGAGAGGACGACCAGCCACACUGGGACUGAGACACGGCCCAGACUCCUACGGGAGGCAGCAGUGGGGAAUUUUGGACAAUGGGCGAAAGCCUGAUCCAGCAAUGCCGCGUGCAGGAUGAAGGCCUUCGGGUUGUAAACUGCUUUUGUACGGAACGAAAAGGCUCUGGCUAAUACCUGGGGCACAUGACGGUACCGUAAGAAUAAGCACCGGCUAACUACGUG